This is a long non-coding RNA of Brassica napus (rape), 2018 nucleotides long. RefSeq lists it as uncharacterized. The record is from RefSeq and is a predicted model, not a curated record. The transcript has 2 exons. NCBI's taxonomy places the organism in Eukaryota, Viridiplantae, Streptophyta, Magnoliopsida, Brassicales, Brassicaceae.
UUCAAAUUUUUAAAAAUUAUUUUAUAGAACAAAAAAUUUUAUAUUUAAAGUUAUAAAGUGUCUUUUAUAGAUUCUUGCAUUAUUGAUUUCAGAAAAAUUGUUUGUAUUUGAUUUUUUGUUACCGUGAGUACAAAGUUCCAAGUUCUUGACAAACGCAAUUUAUCCACCUCUGACAUUUUCUUGGUAGCUAGCCAAGAUCUAAUCUAGACAAACUCUUUGUUUUAGUAAAUCUUUAUAUAUAAAAUACACUUUCAAUCUCUCCUGGGGUGACAGCUCGGAUUCCACGUCAGAAAUAGGAAGUCUACAGCGUUGACACGUCGGAUCCGCACCGUUUCACUAAAGCGUUGCUCUGUCCGAACGGGCUUCAUGUGGGCUUUGUGUUGCGCUUCGUCUGCGGCCCUAAUCAGUUGCGAUGCGAACCCCUUUGUGUUCUUCGUUUCUCUUCGAUCGCGCAGUGACGAUCCAGUUAUCUAAGCAUCACACUACUUGGUCAUCCUUCAUCUUCCUAUCCAUCAGUUGCGAUUGCAUUCGGUAUAUAUAUAUGCACCUCACGGAACCCUCAAACAAUCUAAUCCUUCCACAAUCUUCUUCAGAUCCUCCUUUAUCUUCUUUCUCCGUUAGAAGCGAUUGUUUCUAAGAGACAUCUUAAUUGACAUUUCAUCCUAGAUUCUUAUUAAUGGCAGUCUGUAAGUUAAAUUUCCCUUUUUGUUCUUUCUGUGCACAUGGAAUUUACAUUUGCUUAAUUUUUUUUGCAUCUGUGUUUGACGUUUGAAAAUCUGAAUCCGAUUUCAAAGUCAUGGAUCUGGAAAUUAAUGAUGCGCUGGCGAUGAAAAUUUGUCGUGAUACCAGCAUAAAUUCACGGGACGGUUGGCGUUCCUCUCCGGCGUGUAAGUUUACGGAAACAUAACACUUUUUCAUUCUUUAUGAAUCUCCAAGAAAUAGAGGAAUCGUUGUGAUAUACAGUUUUGAUUGAUCUUUAACAGGCUAAGUUGUUUACAUUCAGAUAGAAUCGUUCAUCGUUAUAUGAAAAAGAUACAUGCUUUUGGAUUAACAGAUCAAUCUAUGGCUUGCUAAUUUUGGAGUGGCUAGGAUUGGAGCUUAGAAUCCAAAUGACAUGACUGAAGAAACUGGUACUCUUGGAUACAUGGCUCCAAAGGUAACAAAGGAACCUAACCCUUACGUUAAGGAUUGGUUAGGGUUAACUUUCUAUCUCCCUCAUUGUGAGUGUAGUAUUGAAACAUGUUAUUUGGGGACUAAACUGGUUUAUGGUUUCGUUGGUUUAAUAGAAAAACUUAACGUUUUUACCCCAAAAAAAAAGAAAACAAAACUUAAACGCAGUAUUAAACCCAUUUGUUAUUCAGUUUUAGUUUCCACUCAUAUUGAUGCAGCGUUGGUUUCCACUCAGAUCAUAUACUCAUCCCUUUUGGCUGUUUAUAGAAUUUGUUUUGUUCAUGGCAGUGAGAACGUCUCAGCCGAGAAGAUCAAGAGCUGAUGCAGAAGCUUCCUGAUUCCAGCAAAUCAAACGCCGUUGAACAACAUAAAAUCUGUUUCACCCUAUUCAAAAGUGAGAAAUUUGCGAGUUAUUAAAUUUAGUAUUUUUUAUCUUCACUUCUCCUCUGAAAUUGUCUUUUUAGCUCUCCUUCUUUUACAGGAUCCAUUUGGUAAGAAGCUGAUGGAUAGGAUCCGGCCAACCCAACCCCGGUCCUGCACAGUACUCUUCGUCCGCCUCUACCACGGUGUCUCAACCCAACUCUGGUUCCUGCCAUGUUGAUGCAGAUCUACAGCGACACUAUAGGUGUUGCCAAAUCUGCACUUUAAUCCUCCUAAGUUCAAUUUCAUGCCGCAAAUUUAGAGACACGAAAAGACAGAACUCUGAACAAGUAGAAGAACAAGAUCCACUUAUUAGUUGUUGUUCUUCUUUGAUGUAGUUGAACACAGUUUUGUAUGUUGGAAAUGACUUUGAUCGGCCAGUUUUGUAAAGAGUAUUCACUAAUUAGCUGACGCCUUGGAUCAUGUUA